UUUGUAUGAUUCUUUUCCUUAGUAGAAAAAGUGGCAGGGUCACCAUCAUCUUCCUUCCAAUGAGGAGGGAAAGGGAGCCAUUUAUCACAAUUUCUUCAAUAUGGAUCCUCAUAAAUGUGACUUAUACCAGUACCUCCUCAGGCUAUUGUUCCAUCCAUUUGUGCUGCAGAUGGCUUUCAUAUGGUCUUAGUCUGACAAAGCUAGGUGCUAAGAAAGAACAGCUUUGAAGUGCAAUAGUUAUUGAUGCACAUGUCAUGUCUCUGAAGAUAACUUCCAACAAGGCCCUAAAUACACUUCCAAUAUGCCUGAGAUGAUUUCAGUCAAAUUUAAGUGCAGGUAGGCUAUCCAAUGUUCAAUGCAUGUGUUAAGUGCUUUGAGGCACCUUAGGCUUAGCUUUGUUCUUUCUUAAAGUUGUCGAACUAUAGCAAUAGUCUCCAGUGCUCCCCUCGCCUAUAUCAGUUGUCUACCCCUGUACUCCUGACUCCCUCUGUCUUUCAUUCAUCCAGGUUACGCCAAUGUUCUGCGCAUACAGUUGCUGCUUUUUGGUGCGCACACACCCCAGGCACUCCAUCUCGUCAACGCCUGAGAAGUUGGUGAAAGCGCCUCCUGCCAGACUUGCUGGAUGGCUACUACCUGCACUUGCUAGCUGAACGGAAGCUCUUCCAACUAGCUGGCAUGGCUCUCGGCAGCUUGGCUUACGCGUGGGACGCUGCAGACGCAAUCAUCGCCAGCCUCACACAUGUCGAAAAUCAGGCAAACUACAUCAGCUGCUCACUGGUAUGGGCCAAAGAAGGCUCGUUGCUGGCGGUGGUUCUGGAGACAACGGUUCGAUCCAUCUGUAGGACGUCACUCGGCAAGAAGUUGUGGAGUGUGAUGGUCAUCCACGCGGCGCGCGUAUCCAGUCACGUUGUCCAGAAACGAUCACAUUAUCUCCAGGUCACUCCGUGACUUGCCGGCGCUCGAGCUGACGGUGUCGCCCGAACGAAGGCUUCACGGCGACAAGUGCUGCCACCGCCUAAGACCAUCCGACUCCGAAAUGCUGAUUGCCGGGCACGAACAAGAGGCUACAGGCAUUUGGGUGCAACACCUGCUCCGAGUGCCCUGUUCUGAGGCGUCAUCCGAAGAAGGCCGCAUAGUGCACUUAAGGCUGUGUUCGGGUGUUAGUGCACUGCACUGUCGGAUAUGAUCAAAUGGCAGGCCCGUCAUAAGAUCUCAGUACGAAAUUAAGAUAGUCAGAGCCGACGUGAUCGGUGGAUAGUGUGCCAGGGUUGAUUGAGCGUCCAUGGGCGUGAGACACCUGGAUCUGUGAAGGAUACGCCGAUACGUGUCCCGGAUUCGACAUCCCUCCCCCUCCGUCUCAACGGUGUUGGCUGAGAUUGGGGUAUUUUUACGGACUCGCCAAUGUCCUGUAAUUUCUGUUAUGUAAUUUGACGAUCAUGCCGUGGUCUCAUUCUGUCUCGAUAUGCUAAUAAAUGAUAAAUGUAACAGAGGCUGGAAGUAAGGUGUGAGUGGCUGUAACCGGCAGGUUUUGGCGAGCGUGAUAUUUGUAUCGUGAGGGCGCUAGCUGCAAUCAAUCGCGCGUUUUUGCUGAGCAUCCGUGAGCGAGAAAAUGCCUUCUCUGGAACCUAGCAGUACAGCGUGAAAUCUGUGUAUCUUUGGAUUAUGCUAGCAUAACGUAAUGUAUUUUUGGUGUCCACUGCAGCUUCGGAACAGAAAUAUGGAGAUUGGCUGUUUGCUGAAGCAAGGGUAAGCAAUCCGUGCCAAGAAUAAAAAACUAUGUGA
Molecule: long non-coding RNA, 1782 nt
Filed under: Amphibalanus amphitrite
Lineage: Eukaryota; Metazoa; Arthropoda; Thecostraca; Balanomorpha; Balanidae
Description: uncharacterized LOC122393629
Source: RNAcentral